Molecule: ribosomal RNA, 460 nt
Filed under: uncultured bacterium
Lineage: Bacteria
Description: partial 16S ribosomal RNA
Rfam family: Bacterial small subunit ribosomal RNA
Source: RNAcentral
CCUACGGGUGGCAGCAGUGAGGAAUAUUGGUCAAUGGCCGUAAGCCUGAACCAGCCAAGUCGCGUGAGGGAAGACGGCCCUACGGGUUGUAAACCUCUUUUAUGCGGGAACAAAGGUGUCCACGAGUGGCUGUUUGCAGGUACCGCAUGAAUAAGGACCGGCUAAUUCCGUGCCAGCAGCCGAGGUAAUACGGAAGGUCGGGGCGUUAUCCGGAUUUAUUGGGUUUAAAGGGGGCGUAGGCCGGUCUUUAAGCGUGCCGUGAAAUGUUGGGGCGCAACCACGUGAGUGCGGAGGAAACUGGCGAGCUUGAGUGAGAGGAAGGCAGGCGGAAUGCGUGGUGUAGCGGUGAAAUGCUUAGAUAUCACGAAGAACCCCGAUUGCGAAGGCAGCGUGCCGGAGCGUUACUGACGCUGAAGCACGAAAGCGCGGGUAUCGAACAGGAUUAGAUACCCGAGUAGUC